RNAcentral lists this ribosomal RNA (238 nucleotides) under uncultured bacterium. Its description in RNAcentral is "partial 16S ribosomal RNA". It matches the Rfam family "Bacterial small subunit ribosomal RNA", at positions 524 to 762 of the family's 1533-position model. The record is from RNAcentral.
UACGGAGGGUGCAAGCGUUAAUCGGAUUUACUGGGCGUAAAGCGCACGUAGGUGGUUUGUUAAGUCGGAUGUGAAAUCCCCGGGCUCAACCUGGGAGCGGCAUUCGAUACUGGCAAACUGGAGUACGAGAGAGGGGGGUGGAAUUCCAGGUGUAGCGGUGAAAUGCGUAGAUAUCUGGAGGAACACCGGUGGCGAAGGCGGCCCCUGGCUCAAGAUUGACGCUCAUGCACGAAAGCGU